RNAcentral lists this ribosomal RNA (253 nucleotides) under uncultured bacterium. RNAcentral describes it as "partial 16S ribosomal RNA". It matches the Rfam family "Bacterial small subunit ribosomal RNA", at positions 524 to 776 of the family's 1533-position model. The record is from RNAcentral.
UACGUAGGGUGCGAGCGUUAAUCGGAAUUACUGGGCGUAAAGUGUGCGCAGGCGGCUUCGCAAGUCGAGUGUGAAAUCCCCGAGCUUAACUUGGGAAUUGCGCUCGAAACUACGGAGCUGGAGUGUGGCAGAGGAAGGUGGAAUUCCACGUGUAGCGGUGAAAUGCGUAGAGAUGUGGAGGAACACCGAUGGCGAAGGCAGCCCCCUGGGCUAACACUGACGCUCAGGCACGAAAGCGUGGGGAGCAAACAGG